RNAcentral lists this ribosomal RNA (468 nucleotides) under uncultured bacterium. RNAcentral's name for it is "partial 16S ribosomal RNA". It matches the Rfam family "Bacterial small subunit ribosomal RNA", at positions 28 to 507 of the family's 1533-position model. The record is from RNAcentral.
GACGAACGCUGGCGGCGUGCUUAACACAUGCAAGUCGAACGGAAAGGCCCUGCUUUUGUGGGGUGCUCGAGUGGCGAACGGGUGAGUAACACGUGAGUAACCUGCCCUUGACUUUGGGAUAACUUCAGGAAACUGGGGCUAAUACCGGAUAGGAGCUCCUGCUGCAUGGUGGGGGUUGGAAAGUUUCGGCGGUUGGGGAUGGACUCGCGGCUUAUCAGCUUGUUGGUGGGGUAGUGGCUUACCCAGGCUUUGACGGGUAGCCGGCCUGAGAGGGUGACCGGCCACAUUGGGACUGAGAUACGGCCCAGACUCCUACGGGAGGCAGCAGUGGGGAAUAUUGCACAAUGGGCGGAAGCCUGAUGCAGCAACGCCGCGUGCGGGAUGACGGCCUUCGGGUUGGAAACCGCUUUCGCCUGUGACGAAGCGUGAGUGACGGUAAUGUGUAAAGAAGCACCGGCUAACUACGUG